UCAAGAGGAGACACGAUAAUUUUUCUGAAAAAUGUUCUCUCUUAGAAAAUUGCUAGGUAUCUUCUUAAAUGAGUGAGUAACACCUCUCUCGUCUGGAAAAAGUAAUAAAGAGUGUGUAAGUAUAAGGAAGAUCUGAUUAAAGAUUUUUUUUAUGUUGUAAUCAGUUUGAGAAAUAAAAAGUUUGUUCAUAUAUCCUUUGUCAAUUUUUUAUGCUGGUAACAAAUGAAGGUUGCGAUCUUCAGCCUAAACGGAGGAAGGACGACGUAACAAGUAGCCUGAAGAUAGUUAAUUGCAAUAGGCUAAAAUAGUUCUUCAUAGUCGGAAGGAGAAGCACUGCGGUGCUGAUAAAACCAACAUAGAGGAGAGUAAAGUGUAUCCAUGAGUCCAUGGUCAUGAAGAGCAUGGAAACAAACACCAAGUUGUUGAAAUUUCUGACAUUCAAUGUAUUUUUAUUUACAUUAAAUCUUCUCAAUUAACAAUUAUCUAUAAAUAAUACACGAUAAUUUAUUAUUGUUAACU
This is a long non-coding RNA of Capsicum annuum, 519 nucleotides long. RefSeq lists it as uncharacterized. The record is from RefSeq and is a predicted model, not a curated record. The transcript has 2 exons. Lineage: Eukaryota; Viridiplantae; Streptophyta; Magnoliopsida; Solanales; Solanaceae.